AGGAUCAUUGUCGAAAUCUGCAGAGCAGAAUGACCUGCGAACAAGUGAAAAGUAAACGGUUGAAGGGAGGGCACCAUGGUCGCCUUCUCCUCCUCUCAGCUGAUCAUUGGAGGGCGGUUGGGCCUCGUGCCCUCCCCGUACCUCUCGUGGUCCCAAUCAACAUACCUCAGUGCGGAAUGCGCCAAGGAAAACAAACAGAAGGGUGCGCUGCCGCUUGCACCGUAAAUGGUUGUGUGUGGCUUGCGUAUUUUGCUCAAUCUAAUGUUACAACGACUCUCGGCAACGGAUAUCUUGGCUCUCGCAUCGAUGAAGAACGUAGCAAAAUGCGAUAGCUGGUGUGAAUUGCAGAAUCCCGUGAACCAUCGAGUCUUUGAACGCAAGUUGCGCCUGAAGCCGUCAGGCCAAGGGCACGCCUGCCUGGGUGUCCCCCUCCCCCUUGCCCAAAUGCACGCCUCCUCCCACCGUAAAAAUGGGACCGAGUGAUUCGGGCGGAUAAAUGGCCUCCCAUGGCGAACAUCUUCGUGGUUGGCCCAAAAUUAGCACUUGGCUCUUAGGAAGCCACGACAAGCAUUGGCGAAAAACUCAGGUAAUUCCUUGAUCGUUGUCGUGGUGCUGGACUUUGUAGCGUGCUGUAAGAUAACCUCGGUGCUUGCAUCCCAAGAUUGCGACCCCAG
Molecule: ribosomal RNA, 674 nt
Filed under: Parnassia longipetala
Lineage: Eukaryota; Viridiplantae; Streptophyta; Magnoliopsida; Celastrales; Celastraceae
Description: eukaryotic LSU rRNA
Rfam family: 5.8S ribosomal RNA (bases 272-427)
Source: RNAcentral